This 749-nucleotide ribosomal RNA is filed under the name uncultured Alphaproteobacteria bacterium. RNAcentral describes it as "bacterial SSU rRNA". It matches the Rfam family "Bacterial small subunit ribosomal RNA", at positions 63 to 860 of the family's 1533-position model. The record is from RNAcentral. Lineage: Bacteria; Pseudomonadati; Pseudomonadota; Alphaproteobacteria.
CGAACGCAGUAGCAAUACUGAGUGGCAAACGGGUGAGUAUAAUGUGGGAAUCUGCCUUUUGGUUUGGAAUAACACGGGGAAACCUGUGCUAAUACCGAAUAAGCCCUUACGGGGAAAGUUUUAAUGCCGAAAGAUGAGCCCGCACUUGAUUAGCUAGUUGGUAAGGUAAAAGCUUACCAAGGCAACGAUCAAUAGCUGUUCUUAGAGGAAGACCAGCCACAUUGGGACUGAGACACGGCCCAGACUCCUACGGGAGGCAGCAGUGGGGAAUCUUGCACAAUGGGGGAAACCCUGACGCAGCGAUGCCGCGUGAGUGAAGAAGGCCUUUGGGUUGUAAAACUCUUUCGUCGGGGAAGAAAAUGACUGUACCCGAAUAAGAAGGUCCGGCUAACUUCGUGCCAGCAGCCGCGGUAAUACGAAGGGACCUAGCGUAGUUCGGAAUUACUGGGCUUAAAGAGCUCGUAGGUGGUUAAAAAAGUUGAUGGUGAAAUCCCAAGGCUUAACCUUGGAACUGCCAUCAAAACUUCUUAGCUAGAGUGUGAUAGAGGUAAGUGGAAUUUCUAGUGUAGAGGUGAAAUUCGUAGAUAUUAGAAAGAACACCAAAUGCGAAGGCAACUUACUGGGUCACUACUGACACUGAGGAGCGAAAGCAUGGGUAGCGAAGAGGAUUAGAUACCCUCGUAGUCCAUGCCGUAAACGAUGUGUGCUAGACGUUGGAAAUAUAUUUUUCAGUGUCGCAGCGAAAGCAU